AUGUCGUCGUCGGUUGAGCUGAUGGACGAAAUCCAACGCAUCAAGGCUGGCAAUCCCGACAUCUCGCACAGGGAGGCCUUCAGCGCGGCUGCCAAGAACGUCAGUACUCUCUCGCCAUGGCUCCAUCCACACCUAGAUCUUUCUCUUUCUUUCUCUCUCUCUCUCUCUCUCUCUCUCUCUCUUUCUGUGUCUCUGGUCUGAUCUGUUGUUCUAGGGUUUGGCAGUGUUGCCAUGUUUCUCUCCUAGGGUUUCCCGAUCUUUCAAAAUCGAGUUCCUGGUGUUUGGCAUUGUCUGAAUCUUUGUUUGCCUGUUUGGUGUGGUGGUUUUGUUGUUGUUGUUUGUUUGCAGUGGGCACACUUUCCGCACAUCCACUUUGGACUGAUGCCGGAUCACCAGGGGCUCAAGAAGACCAGCCUGCUUCCUCAGGAUCAUCAGAGAAAGGAUGGGCUACUAAAGGAAGGGCUUUAUGCAGCGGCAGCUGCUGCGGCGGCGGCGGCCAACAUGGGUGUUGCACCGUACUAA
Molecule: long non-coding RNA, 522 nt
Filed under: Oryza sativa aus subgroup
Lineage: Eukaryota; Viridiplantae; Streptophyta; Magnoliopsida; Poales; Poaceae
Description: lncRNA OsN22_10G016510
Source: RNAcentral